AUGGAUUCUGGGGGAAACCCCAUGGGAUUCCCUAACGUCAAAGCUGGGCUUUCCCUGGUGAGAAUGCCUCCACCCCACCCCACUUCCCCAGGGCUGUCCCCACACGGUCAUCCAGGUGGCACUGCCACCAGCGUGGUGACAGCCAGUGGCACUUUUAGCACGGCCAUGCCAACACACAGCUCCAACCCAAUGGAUUCUGGGGGAAACCCCAUGGGAUUCCCUAUUGUCAGAGCCGAGCUUACCCCAGCGAGAAUGUCACCACCCCAUCCCCAUGUCCCCGUGUCCCCAAGGCUGUCCCCACAUGGCCGUUGGUGGCACCAGUUUGGGGGACAGCCAGUGGCACCUCACAGCACGACUGUGCCAUCUCACAACCCCAACCCAAUGGUUUUUUGGGAAGACUCAAUGGGAUUCCUCAUCAAACUUGGACUUUCCCGACUGAGAGAAGCGAUGCCACCACCCCAUCCCCACAUCUCCAUGUCCCCACAUCCCCACAUCUCCAUGUCCCCAUGUCCCUGCAUCAUCCAUGUCCCCACAUUCCCACAUCCCAACAUCUCCACGUUGCCACCACCCCAUCCCCCACGUCCCCAUGUCCCCACAUCUCCAUGUCCCCACAUUCCCAUGUCCCCAUGUCUCCACAUUGCCACAUCUCCAAAUUCCCACAUUCCCAUGUCUCCAUAUCCCCACAUUCCCAUAUCCCCAUGUCUCCACGUUGCCACCAACCCAUCUCCACGUCCCCACAUCCCCACAUCCCCACGUCCCCACGUCCCCACGUCCCCACGUCGGUACCUCUCCUCUCCACAGUGUGGAUGCACUGCUGGACAAACCGUGGCACCGUGCCGUGCUCCCGCUCACACAACGCCUGCAGCGAGCACCCAAAAACCUGAUCUGGGGGAAAAAGGGGGAGGUGGGCACGGGCGGGAGGUGACAUUUGGGGACACCCACGGCGCAUCCCUACCUUUGAUGUAUCCACGCUCACGCAGGGACUGCAGCGUCGGCCGCCGCUGGAGGAACUUGCGGAGUUUGUUGCGCACUUUGUUGGAAUCGCUGUCACCUGGGGUGGGUGCUGCGGGAUGGCACAGGGUGAGCAUCACCCGUGGGGACAUCGGGGUGGCACGGGGUGCUGGCACUCACCCGCUGCCCUCCUCUCCUCACCGCCCAGCUUCUCCCGCGAGCCGAACUCCGUCCCGCUCUCGGCAUCCUCCUCACUGGGGCCAUCGGAGCCCUGUUGGGGAGCGGGGUCAGUCGGAGGGACUGGGGAUGUGUGGGGGGACACGGCAGCGUGGCCGCCCCUCACCAUUAGCACGAUGCUGUCGGCGAUGGCCCGGUGCCACGUGGUGA
RNAcentral lists this long non-coding RNA (1338 nucleotides) under Chrysolophus pictus (golden pheasant). Its description in RNAcentral is "lncRNA (ENSCPIG00010002514.1)". The record is from RNAcentral. Lineage: Eukaryota; Metazoa; Chordata; Aves; Galliformes; Phasianidae.